AGAGUUUGAUCCUGGCUCAGAUUGAACGCUGGCGGAAUGCUUUACACAUGCAAGUCGAACGAUGAACCUUAGCUUGCUAAGGGGAUUAGUGGCGAACGGGUGAGUAAUAUAUCGGAACGUGCCUUGUAAUGGGGGAUAACUAGUCGAAAGAUUAGCUAAUACCGCAUACGCCCUGAGGGGGAAAGUAGGGGAUCUUCGGACCUUACGUUAUAAGAGCGGCCGAUAUCUGAUUAGCUAGUUGGUGGGGUAAUGGCCUACCAAGGCGACGAUCAGUAGCUGGUCUGAGAGGACGACCAGCCACACUGGAACUGAGACACGGUCCAGACUCCUACGGGAGGCAGCAGUGGGGAAUUUUGGACAAUGGGCGCAAGCCUGAUCCAGCCAUUCCGCGUGAGUGAAGAAGGCCUUCGGGUUGUAAAGCUCUUUCGCAAGGGAAGAAAACUUACUUUCUAAUAAAGAGUGAGGCUGACGGUACCUUGAUAAGAAGCACCGGCUAACUACGUGCCAGCAGCCGCGGUAAUACGUAGGGUGCGAGCGUUAAUCGGAAUUACUGGGCGUAAAGCGUGCGCAGGCGGUUUGGCAAGUCAGAUGUGAAAUCCCCGAGCUCAACUUGGGAACUGCGUUUGAAACUGCCAGACUAGAAUAUGUCAGAGGGGGGUAGAAUUCCACGUGUAGCAGUGAAAUGCGUAGAGAUGUGGAGGAAUACCAAUGGCGAAGGCAGCCCCCUGGGAUAAUAUUGACGCUCAUGCACGAAAGCGUGGGGAGCAAACAGGAUUAGAUACCCUGGUAGUCCACGCCCUAAACG
This 805-nucleotide ribosomal RNA is filed under the name uncultured bacterium. RNAcentral's name for it is "bacterial SSU rRNA". It matches the Rfam family "Bacterial small subunit ribosomal RNA", at positions 8 to 808 of the family's 1533-position model. The record is from RNAcentral.